AGCUCCAAGAGCGUAUAUUAAAGUUGUUGCAGUUAAAAAGCUCGUAGUUGGAUUUCUGGUGUAAUGCGCCUGGCCCGUGGCCGUCUAGGCUUAUGAGUGCCGGUGCGCGUUCACCAUCCUUCAAGCCAACGGUUCUACCUUUAACUGGGCCGGAACCGCGACUUGAUCUUUUACUUUGAAAAAAUUAGAGUGUUUAAAGCAGGCAUUUGCUAUGAAUAAAACAGCAUGGAAUAAUAAUCUAGGACUUCGGUUCUAUUUUGUUGGUUUCUAGUACUGGAGUAAUGAUUGAUAGGGAUAGUUGGGGGUGCUAGUAUUGGCCGGCCAGAGGUGAAAUUCUUGGAUUCGGUCAAGACUAACUAAUGCGAAAGCAUUCACCAAGGAUGUCUUCUUUAAUCAAGAA
Molecule: ribosomal RNA, 400 nt
Filed under: phytoplankton environmental sample
Lineage: Eukaryota
Description: partial small subunit ribosomal RNA
Rfam family: Eukaryotic small subunit ribosomal RNA
Source: RNAcentral